Molecule: long non-coding RNA, 247 nt
Filed under: Vigna radiata
Lineage: Eukaryota; Viridiplantae; Streptophyta; Magnoliopsida; Fabales; Fabaceae
Description: long non-coding RNA (VRAD_LNC012480)
Source: RNAcentral
UCAAAAACUAGAGUGAAAUAGAAAUUGUGUUGUCAACAAUCUUAACAAUCUCUCCCUUUUUUGAUGAUGCACAACCAUGAUUAAUAACUAACCAUGUUUGCACAAUCAAAUACAAAAUAUAGUAACAAAAGAUAUAUCACAGUUCAAGUCUGCAUGUAACACAAUUAAAAAGCAAAAUAUCAAGCAGAAUAUGAGACAAAAUAAUCAUUCUCCCCCUUUCAUAAAGCUUUCAUAAGUUCUCUCCCCC